RNAcentral lists this transfer RNA (72 nucleotides) under Eukaryota sp. BB2. RNAcentral describes it as "tRNA-Gln". It matches the Rfam family "tRNA". Rfam says of the family: Transfer RNA (tRNA) molecules are approximately 80 nucleotides in length. The record is from RNAcentral.
UGGAGCAUAGCCAAGUGGCAAGGCAUCGGUUUUUGGUACCGACAUUCAUAGGUUCGAAUCCUAUUGCUCCAG